AUUGAACGUUGGCGGCAGGCCUAAAACAUGCAAGUCGAACGGUAACAGCGGAAGCUUGCUUCCGGCUGACGAGUGGCGGACGGGUGAGUAACACGUAGGAAUCUACCUAGUAGUGGGGGA
This 120-nucleotide ribosomal RNA is filed under the name uncultured bacterium. Its description in RNAcentral is "partial 16S ribosomal RNA". It matches the Rfam family "Bacterial small subunit ribosomal RNA", at positions 30 to 143 of the family's 1533-position model. The record is from RNAcentral.